Molecule: non-coding RNA, 148 nt
Filed under: Pan troglodytes (chimpanzee)
Lineage: Eukaryota; Metazoa; Chordata; Mammalia; Primates; Hominidae
Source: Rfam by way of RNAcentral
GCUGGGCAUGGUAGUGCAUGCCUGUAGUCCAAGCUACUCGGGAGGCUGAGGCGGGAGAAUCGCUUGAACCCAGGAGGUGGAGGUUGCAGUGAGCCGAGACUGAACCACUGCACUCCAGCCUGGGUGACAGAGCGAGACUCUGUCUCAA